UGGGAGCCUCUACUAGUAGAGCUCUAGAGCAUAUUGGGGAGUUCUUAAAUUUACCAACCACUGCUAUGUAUAUAUCAGUGGAACCUGAUGCCACUAUUGAUAUUCUUCCCGCUGAUAAUACAGCAUCACUGUCAGAGGUUUAUGAUACAAAUGCUUAAGGCGAUGUAGGUAUUUUCUCACCUUUGUUUUAAUAGUUUAAUAAGUUUGCAUUAAGG
This 215-nucleotide long non-coding RNA is filed under the name Capsicum annuum. Its description in RNAcentral is "long non-coding RNA (CANN_LNC022441)". Lineage: Eukaryota; Viridiplantae; Streptophyta; Magnoliopsida; Solanales; Solanaceae. The record is from RNAcentral.